GCCUAAAGCGUCCGUAGCCGGCUCUGUAAGUUUUCGGUUAAAUCCAUAUGCUCAACAUAUGGGCCGCCGGGAAUACUGCAUAGCUAGGGAGUGGGAGAGGUAGACGGUACUCCGUAGGAAGGGGUAAAAUCCUUUGAUCUAUGGAUGACCACCAGUGGCGAAGGCGGUCUACCAGAACACGUUCGACGGUGAGGGAUGAAAGCUGGGGGAGCAAGCCGGAUUAGAUACCCGGGUAGUCCCAGCUGUAAACUAUGCAAACUCAGUGAUGCAUUGGCUUGUGGCCAGUGCAGUGCCGCAGAGAAGUCGUUAAGUUUGCCGCCUGGGAAGUACGUACGCAAGUAUGAAACUUAAAGGAAUUGGCGGGGGAGCACCACAAGGGGUGAAGCCUGCGGUUCAAUUGGAGUCAACGCCAGAAAUCUUACCCGGAGAGACAGCAGGAUGAAGGUCAAGUUGAAGCCUUUACCAGACAAGCUGAGAAGUGGUGCAUGGCCGUCGCCAGCUCGUGCCGUGAGGUGUCCUGUUAAGUCAGGUAACGAGCGAGAUCCUUGCCUCUAGUUGCCACCAUUACUCUCAGGAGUAGUGGGGCGAAUUAGCGGGACUGCCGUAGUUAAUACGGAGGAAGGAGAGGGCCACGGCAGGUCAGUAUGCCCCGAA
Molecule: ribosomal RNA, 654 nt
Filed under: uncultured archaeon
Lineage: Archaea
Description: bacterial SSU rRNA
Rfam family: Archaeal small subunit ribosomal RNA
Source: RNAcentral